UCGGGAAUAUUGCGCAAUGGAGGAAACUCUGACGCAGUGACGCCGCGUGCAGGAAGAAGGUUUUCGGAUUGUAAACUGCUUUAGACAGGGAAGAAACAAGACAGUACCUGUAAAAUAAGCUCCGGCUAACUACGUGCCAGCAGCCGCGGUAAUACGUAGGGAGCAAGCGUUAUCCGGAUUUAUUGGGUGUAAAGGGUGCGUAGACGGGAAGACAAGUUGGUUGUGAAAUCCCUCGGCUUAACCGAGGAACUGCAACCAAAACUAUCUUUCUUGAGUGUUGGAGAGGAAAGUGGAAUUCCUAGUGUAGCGGUGAAAUGCGUAGAUAUUAGGAGGAACACCAGUGGCGAAGGCGACUUUCUGGACAAUAACUGACGUUGAUGCACGAAACGUGUGGGGGAGCAAAUCAGGAUUAGAUACC
Molecule: ribosomal RNA, 418 nt
Filed under: uncultured bacterium
Lineage: Bacteria
Description: bacterial SSU rRNA
Rfam family: Bacterial small subunit ribosomal RNA
Source: RNAcentral